This 464-nucleotide ribosomal RNA is filed under the name Vreelandella stevensii. RNAcentral's name for it is "partial 16S ribosomal RNA". It matches the Rfam family "Bacterial small subunit ribosomal RNA", at positions 338 to 795 of the family's 1533-position model. Lineage: Bacteria; Pseudomonadati; Pseudomonadota; Gammaproteobacteria; Oceanospirillales; Halomonadaceae. The record is from RNAcentral.
CCUACGGGGGGCAGCAGUGGGGAAUAUUGGACAAUGGGCGAAAGCCUGAUCCAGCCAUGCCGCGUGUGUGAAGAAGGCCUUCGGGUUGUAAAGCACUUUCAGUGGGGAAGAAAGCCUUGGGGCUAAUACCCUCGAGGAAGGACAUCACCCACAGAAGAAGCACCGGCUAACUCCGUGCCAGCAGCCGCGGUAAUACGGAGGGUGCGAGCGUUAAUCGGAAUUACUGGGCGUAAAGCGCGCGUAGGCGGUCUGAUAAGCCGGUUGUGAAAGCCCCGGGCUCAACCUGGGAACGGCAUCCGGAACUGUCAGGCUAGAGUGCAGGAGAGGAAGGUAGAAAUCCCGGUGUAGCGGUGAAAUGCGUAGAGAUCGGGAGGAAUACCAGUGGCGAAGGCGGCCUUCUGGACUGACACUGACGCUGAGGUGCGAAAGCGUGGGUAGCAAACAGGAUUAGAUACCCAGUAGUC